CUUCACCGAUCCGAGCCACAGCGGCCGCUCCCGGGCGCGUCCCUGUCCGUAGGUGGCGAGCAGCGCCUGCAACUC
Molecule: non-coding RNA, 75 nt
Organism: Streptomyces cyaneogriseus subsp. noncyanogenus
Lineage: Bacteria; Bacillati; Actinomycetota; Actinomycetes; Kitasatosporales; Streptomycetaceae
Rfam family: ASpks TB sRNA
Source: Rfam